Molecule: non-coding RNA, 8074 nt
Organism: Meleagris gallopavo (turkey)
Lineage: Eukaryota; Metazoa; Chordata; Aves; Galliformes; Phasianidae
Source: RefSeq, a predicted model, not a curated record
UCCAACCCUGGCCAUUCUGUGAUUCUGUAACACCUAGAGCUGAGUCAGGGUGCUCAGAGCCCAUAUAUCCCAGUAUUGGAGCAUUAUGCUUCUCAGUUUUUCAUGCUAUAGGGUUGUAGGAGCUGUGGAGAGGCUGAUCCAGUGCUUCAGUACAGAACUUUCCCCACAGCCUCUUAAUUGCCUCCUGCUAGGGAUUAAGAACAAAAAAACAACAAAAACAAACUCCAAAACAUACCCACACAUCUUUCAUAAAAAGAAGCCUGAGAUCAUUAGCUAACAUUUGGAAGUCCCUCAAAUUAACAUGCGUGAAGGACUGUGGCCAAACUCCCACUGGCUCUCAUAAAAGCAGCAAUCAGUCCUUCAAGCAAGAUUCUCUACAGAAUAACACCCAGAAGCCCCUGCAGAAGGGAUUUGCCAAUCUCACCAUCUGACUAGAUUAAAAACAGCAGUAACAAUGUGAUAAUUGACAGGAGAAACUUCCCUGACAAGGAAUGAAUCAGUGUUUAUUUUUAGCCUUUUCCCCCAAUGCUUUAUUUAAACUAAAGAUUAACUAAUUAUUUCCGUCAUUAUAGCGUCCUCACUAGCAACAGAAGGUGGCAGAUCCUUCUGUGUCUGCUGGUUUUCUGCAGUUCUGUUACUUCGCGUUGGCUCAUCCCUUGAGGUCUGCGAGCACCCGGGAUGAUGCGGUUGUGGUGGUAUUGAGUUUUCGCUUGGCCUCACCCCUAGAUGUAGUACCCCCACGAUCGCUGUUUUUGUUUCUUAAACAGUAAGUUUCAAAAAAGGUUUCUGAAAAUGGAAACUGUGAUUUUCCACGUCCCACCUUUGCUCCUAAGCUUUUCUUGAAAAACGAGUCAGCGGUAAUCCUGUCAACGCAUCUCCCCACUGCAACCUUUUGCAGUGGCAGAGCACUCCCAUCCCAAACAGAUAGCAUGUACAGGAGCCAGCAGUAAAACCUUAUCUAGGGAAGGACAGCUCACCUGAGAAAAGAGUGGCAGAAGAUUUGUCACAGAAUAAAUACAGGGAAGCUGGUCACACUGCCAGUGACACCGCAUAAUGCCUGGGUCUGCUCAUAAGCUUUUAGCUCCUGCUUUGUUUCAAAGCUGGAGGCUUGAUGUAUUUUUCUUAGAAGUUGAAUUGUUCAUAUCGGUUUCACUAUCAGAAAACGAAUCACAUUAUGGAUAUCGCUGAGGGUUAUUUCGCUUUUGUCUACUGCGGAACAAAGAAACAUAAAUGGCACUUUGUUUCAUUUUUUUGCGUAUCUAUAGUGUGAGGAUCACUACAAAAACAUUUAUGUUUUACUGUUCUCUCACAGUCUCAGAGCAGUUGUACCACACUAAAAUCUUAAACUUGUAUCAGUUUUAAACGUAAAGAAUGAAUAUGAUUGUCAGCAUUCAAGUGCUUGUUCUCCAGUGGAAAGUGUUUGUACAUAAUUUUUUUCCAUACUUCUUAAUAUUUCAGAUAAUUUUGGAUGUGACUACUUGUUGUAAGCCAAUUCCAGAUCUCCAGUUCUCCCAAAUCUGAAUCUGUACACCACUCUGAAUAUCAGGAAUCCUGAACCCUGUGCUGAGGCAGCCGUUUUCCUGUCAGCUAUGACGAGGAGCGAAAUCAGUUCAAUAGCUCUGCAAAGCAAGAGGAGGAGUCCGGCUCUGGCCAGCGUUGCCCUGCUCAGAACACUGGAGCUGCUCCUACCAUUCCCUGCCUGCGGCUCCCUGGGGAACCACGGCUCUGGGACAGGCUCCCUUGGCACGGUGAGUAUCAGCUAUGAAAGCAGACGGUCUAACUAGCUGGUGAGGUGGCACUGGAGAAUGAUCACCUCCCUGUGUUUGUGUAUGUGUGCAGUCAGUGACACAAACACACGUGAAACGAAAACUCGCUUGCAUUUUCCAACACUGAGGUGAGAAGCAAAAGCUGUUUCCUGGCCCAGCUGGAGUGAGAAAAAGGAGAGCAGAAAUGGGGAGGGCUCUUGGGGUACAGGGACUGGCUUACAAUAGGGGCAGGGUGCAGGAAUAGGACAAGGUGCAUGCACCCUGUGAGCCAGCCUGGUGUAGGCAGACAGGAAAAAACAGCUGCUGAAAUUUAUGCAGAAGAAGCUUCAAAGUGAGCACGUGGCACUGUUUUAGUGCUAGAUGACAAGCACCUCUUGUUUAUUCUUAAUUUGGUUUGCCUUAAUGAAUGCAGUAGAGCUAGCUAGUAAUAAAUGAUAUAUGAAGAGAAUAAAAGAACUAGUUUUCUGUACUGGUCUCCACUCAUCCUUAGGGCAUACAGGCCAAGUAAACAUAUGAAUAGUGAGUCACUGAUUCCUUUUAAUACAGCUUCAUAACCCUUGCUGUUGUGGUUUCCUCAGCACUUCUCCAUCUUGGCCUUUUAGCUCUAGAGUGCAGAAAGAAUGGAAGACUAAAUUGUAAGGUUCUGCCACUCCUGGUGGAGGGCCCAAGGUUUUAUCUGGAUGUCUCUGCCAUGCUGAAUGGAGAUGUAUUAGCUAUAUUAAAUAUAUAUUUAUGAUUGCAGUGUAUGAGUAGCUUAGUAUGUUCUGGAAUUUACAUUGUAGAGAUGUUAUAACGAAAGCAAGUGAUCCACUUACAUUUAUAUUUACUAAAUGAUCUUGUACAAGUUAUUUCUUAAUCUGGAAGAUUGCUUUUUAAGGAAUGGAAACCCCAAGGGGCACUCGACAGUACCAGAGUAACAAACCAGCCUCAGAGCUUGGUGAGAAACUUAAGAUGGUCUACCUACAGGCCUCAGUCUGUUUUGAGUGGAACCUACAGAAAGCAUCAGUGAUGUUUAGGAAUAUAAAAAGUAACGACAACUAGGUUUAGAAAAGUGCAAAUAAGCUGCAUCCUUUCCACAAACAGUCUUUGGUACAGGCAGCCUUAUGAGAAACAUGUAACUUGUGAAUAUAUCAUUGAUUGCACUACACUAUCCAUUUCUCCUUUGCUCAUUGUGGGGUUUGACUGGUUCAUUUCUGGGGUCACAGAACUAUGGCAGUAGAAAUUGUUGCCUUGCAUCACCUCAGCUUCAUUGAGCUUGCCGGGAAUGGAAGGUACACAGUUCUCUUCAGUUAGGAGUUGCCAGACCCUCUUCUGUUGCAGACAUAUUUAAUUUUGCAGCAGAACAAACUUGCUCUUUCUCACCAUAUUCAUUAUAAAAGGUUGUUAGGGUCAUGAUGCCCUGGGACUGCCACACACAAAGCACUUUGCACUCCCAGCCUGCAGAAUGGCCUGUGCCAGGUGCGGUUAAAUCAGCUGCCCAACAGACUUCACAUUUUGUUAAUGCUUAUCAGCUAGUAGCUGGCUUGUGCUCUGCAACACAGCUGUUUCUUAACUCUUUUGUUUCAUAGAACAUCACAGCAGACACUCACAUCGCCAUGUAAUUGUUUGUUUCUUGAAUUCACUGAGACCUUCAUUUCAAUGUUUCGUGGCAGUGGGUUCAGCAACAAUGUGUUUUCUUUAAGAAACGUGACUUCCUUUCUCUAGAUUUAAAUCUUCUGCCUUUUGCUUCCAUUAAUGCAAAUCUAUUUCUGGAUCAUAAGAGAAAAAGCCACCUUUGUCCUUAAUUGAAGAGAGAAUCAUAUAUUUUUCUUCUUAGUUGUAGUUUAGUCAGUGUCUAGUUUGUUUGCAUGCUUUUAUUUUCAAUUUAUGAAGUUUUCAAGGGCUUCACCCGCAGUUUUUCCUGUUGCUAAUUAUUUUGUUGUCAUGCUUAAAAAAUUCAGAGAUGAAAGAGAAGUGAGUUUCCUUUAUAGAAACCACCCAGCUCUGCUCCUGUAUCCUGUUUAUAAAUGUGUUUAAUAAUAAAUUUUCCAUCACCUUACAUCCAAGAACUUUUAGGUGUGCAGCAAACAUUUAAUUAAUCUCACAAAGAACGUGUGAGGUAGGUUUCUUCAUUUUACAGGUGAGAUGGAGAGAGAGGCAGUUAAAUUAAGUGACUUGACUAAUAUCACACUGUGAGUCAGUGCUAAUGCUGAAAAUAGAAUUUAUGUCUCCAGGUUCCCUGCCCGAUGCUUUAAUCAUCAUACCAGACUUCACUCUAAAGUUGAGCAAAUUCCUUGAAUGAUUAAAAUAAGGAUUCUCAGUUCCAUGUUGGAUUAUUAUGUUUUAUUUCAUGUAAACAACUGAAACAUUUGCAAAAGUCUUCCAUGCUUAGGACUCUUUUAGUCUUUUUUGUUCAGAUGUAGCUUCAGAUACCAGCUGCAUAUAUUUUGAAAAAAAAAAAAAAAGAUAAGGAACACACUUAAAACACACUCAUUGAUGUGAAUGCAGGAAUGCUGUUGUUCAUACUUGCAACACCAGUUCCUUAAUAAUAUCUAAUUAAUAAUUAAUAAUAUAAUUAAUAAUAUUUAUCGCUUCAGUAAAUGGAGCUUUGUGAAAGUAUUGCCCCACAGAAAGAAGAGUGACUGCUAGUUAUGCUGUCAUGAAUGAAUGAAAAUGUAGCCUGAAGCACAAAAUAGCAACUGCAUCUACAGGAAAACCUGCUUAGACACGCAAUUCUGAACUGUAUCAUCUCUGAAUAAACUGGUGCAUAAAGAUGUACAAUCCUUGAAAACUUGUUUGAACAAAUAGUACCCAUGUUCGGGCUAAUCUCAUGCUCCAGCAGCUUUAUAGCUUUUUGAGCGUAGUCCAUGCAUUUGUUUGUGUUGAUGGAACAUAAAAUAUUUUUUUCCAAUCCUCACUGUCUUACCUGUUUGAUGGUAUUCUUCAGUACGGGGGAGAAUAAACAGCCCAGGAAUACAUACUGGGCAUAAGGCAGAGGCCCAGGAGAGGUAACGGAGCAAUACUGUCACCAUCCCUUGUUCCCUAUUAAACCUGAGUAUGGACACAGCUGCCUUUUACACAGACUUACACAAUGCUUUGUAUCACGUAGUACUUUUGCUACCUGUGAGACAAGCAGCACAAGGCUGUGGUCAUCUCCUAGAUUUCUGUAAGGACUUUUGCUGCGUGUAACAAGUGGGGCAUUGCUGGGCAAAGAGCCUUUCAACUUAACUGCACCUUAACAACAAAGUACCUUAAAAAUUCAACCACUUAAUUUUUGAGUGCAAAUUACACUCCUAGGUGUUAAAUCAGCUGUAUUUAUAGGUGUCAUGCUGUAUUUAUAGAAACAGCUCCAAAGUAGUGUGAUGUAUUGUAAAGUAGUGAGAAUCACUUCCUGACUACUUAGCUGGAGUUAAGCAGAAGGUUCCAGGUAACAAGCCAUGGGAUAUGUUCCAGAAGGCCAUCCUGUCUCCUUUCCAGGGUCAUGUUGUGUUCCCUUUGGGUUUACCCUCUCUUAUCAUUUGGGCUCUGCUAUCAGUAGCCAGAUGUCACUAGUCAGUGUUGCUCCAGUUUUGCUUUCCAUUUCUGUUUGAAAUAAAGGUGUUUUUCUUGCAGACUUUGUAGAACAACCUGACGGAAAGGGAUGAGCAAUUUGUGAAACUACUGUGCCCAUCUACCAGGUCUCAGAGAUGGUGCCUCUCCAAGGGGUUGUUCAAAACUAGGCAUGGAUUGCCUGAAUUGUCUGGUAGAAGAGACCUCUGUGACUUUCAUAGACUUUGAAACCAAACCUAAAAAAGCAAUGCAAACUAUUAAAAAUAUUUAUCUGGCUGCUCACUCGUGUUCCCUUUUAUCAAUAGUUCCUGUGACUAAACCACCAAACGCAAUGGUAAUAAUGUCUGAGGAACUGCAAAUGCAAAUGAAGCAUUAGCUAAUAUUUGGGGAAAAUGAGGCUUGAAAUUGGCACUGUGCCUAGGUGUUCUCUUCCAGGUUGGGAAUAGAAAGAAGACUUUGUGAUCUGCGUGUCUGAGCAAAACAAAACCAGCUGAAAUUAAAUACACGACUUUAGACAACAAGCCAUGUAUAACUGAGUGGACAUCAUAGCAUUUUGCAUGUUAAGUUCAUGAAUGUGCUUUCAGUGAAAACCUCCAUGUACCCUGCCUAUCUCAGUAAUCUCAUCCCUGCUCUUUAAUAGGUCUAUCAGCCUCCUUCUGCUGAUUCAGCACAGAUAGGAAACAUGUUAGGAAUGUCAGUUCUUUGCAGUGGUGGGGAUUAUGCACAUGGCAACAGGUGAUGUUUAUGAAAAAUAUAUAACUACUUUCUUCACUGCCCAUAAGGCAGUGAGAAAGAAACUGAGGUACAGCCAUACAGCUACUCUGAAGAGUUAAUACCAUAAAUACAUUACGUACACUUGCAGAACUGAGAAAGCAUUUGUGGCAGCAUGUUUCUUACACAUUAGAACUGAAAAUGGAACUGAAAAGAAAGUGAAAAGAAAUGCAUACUGAGGGAGUCAACCCAUUUAAUCACAUUGUAGAAAUAGAAUGAAUGGUACAAGGCCAAAGAAUGCCACAAGUGACGGAAAAAAUCCAGUAUCAGUUACCUUAAUUGGACUAAUUAUAAAAGGUGGAGUUAGCAAUGCAGGCAAGGUACAUUUUUCCAACAUUCCUUAUUAUGUGUUAAUCAUGGCACUGUAAAGAUCCAAAUAUCUUGGAUCGUGUAACUUGCUAAAUACCACUUGCAUGUUUCUUGCUGGAGCUCAGUGCAGCAAGGCAAGUACAAGCUGAAACAGCACAAAUGGGGAAGGACUUCUUUCUUUAUUAAAACGAGCAGUUUCUGCUGAAACUAGUAUUGCUUGAGGACCAGCUUGUGGUUCCAAGUGUCUUUCAGUGCUGACAGCUGAAGACAGUAGCUCUGGGCCAGGAGUUAAUGUUUGCUCCUUGCUCUAAUGGGCGGAUGUGUUUAAUUAACCUUUGUUUCUGCAGAAGCAGACUUUCUGGCAAGCUGUAGGAAUGCUAAAGAAGGGAAAUCUAAACAGCAGCAAACCCAGGCACAUUCUAUACAUCUAGUGCUAGGUAAAGAAUGCUAAUGCAGACAAGUACUUACUGUUUCCUAGGAGAUCGAUUUGUACAAGCAAUUUUUGUGAAAUAAACUUAAUAUGGCGUUUCCUUUGGGACCUGCUUCCAGUACUUUCACAAGACCCGGCUAUGGUGCAGUGUCUGGUUAAAGACUGGGCACAGUUCUUCAACUGGGGGCUCACAAAAGUCUGUAUUCAAGGAGGAAAUAUUCAGCUUAGUAUUUCUUCCUGAGAGCAGGACCUGACAGCCGUGCUGCUUGUGCCAUGUCCAGAGUUGGCUUCUACUUCAGCUCAAACAGAUCCUUCCCAGAGUUUCCAGCAAAGUGCACUUCUUCAGGUUUAUAGCUAAUUUUUCAGGAAGAGUAUGGUAAGUCUUAUGCAAAGCAAAUAUGCUUUGCAUAAAGUUGCUGGAGGCACUGCUUUUCAUUUGUAAAACUAAAGCACCGUAGAUUACAGUUCAUACUAAUAUACCACACUCCCUGGACACAAUGUCCCUAGGCCUAACUCUUUGUUUUCCUAAAAAUCCUCAACUUCGUGUGUUUUGCAAUUGGACAAAAUAGAGCUUAUCUUCUCUGACCUUCACCAGCUCCACUGUCACAAUAGCAUCAUUGUUUCCUACCUCCUCCCCUUAAUAAGCAGUACCCUCCAUUCUUCUCACUUCCUUUCUGGCCCAAAGCUUUCCCUCUGAGUGACUUUUUAAAGCUCUGCUUUGUCAUCUAUUCUUGUCAGUACUGUGAUCUAAAUUCCAGCCUCCUUCAGUCCUGCUUGUCUCAGUGUCAGCAGCCAGGACUCUAGCUGGUUUUCCUCAAAAAGUGUCUUUUGAAGUUGAAUGGUGGACAUAACUCUCCACUGUUGAGGCCUUACAAACAAGGUACAUUCCCAGUUGACAUAAACAUUUAAAAGACGGUAUUUUUCUCGCUAGAACUGAACAGUAGCAUCACAUUAUCAUUACAAUCAUGAAAGUUCUGCCUCUAUUCCUUGCUUGUCAUGGGAGGAGUAGGGAAGAAGAGUGAGUGGAGCUCCUCUGCAACCUAAUGCUCCACCCAAGCUCCCGCAAAACCUACAAGUAUAAAUGUGUGCAUGGUGGGAGGGGUGGAAUUGUAGUCCUGAGCUGUUAUUGUCAUCUCAGUGGCCCGUCCUUGCACUGGGAUCUGACUCAUGCAGCCUGUAGGGCUUAGCUAUCCUAUUAAUAUACUUUGUGAUGCUGUAGGUAGCACUCACUGAGAUGGAAUAUAUGACAAUACGUGCCUUUCUAUUUGUA